RNAcentral lists this ribosomal RNA (800 nucleotides) under Arthrobacter sp. Its description in RNAcentral is "bacterial SSU rRNA". It matches the Rfam family "Bacterial small subunit ribosomal RNA", at positions 647 to 1444 of the family's 1533-position model. The record is from RNAcentral. Lineage: Bacteria; Bacillati; Actinomycetota; Actinomycetes; Micrococcales; Micrococcaceae.
UGAUGUAGGGGAGACUGGAAUUCCUGGUGUAGCGGUGAAAUGCGCAGAUAUCAGGAGGAACACCGAUGGCGAAGGCAGGUCUCUGGGCAUUAACUGACGCUGAGGAGCGAAAGCAUGGGGAGCGAACAGGAUUAGAUACCCUGGUAGUCCAUGCCGUAAACGUUGGGCACUAGGUGUGGGGGACAUUCCACGUUUUCCGCGCCGUAGCUAACGCAUUAAGUGCCCCGCCUGGGGAGUACGGCCGCAAGGCUAAAACUCAAAGGAAUUGACGGGGGCCCGCACAAGCGGCGGAGCAUGCGGAUUAAUUCGAUGCAACGCGAAGAACCUUACCAAGGCUUGACAUGGACUGGAAAUACCUGGAAACAGGUGCCCCGCUUGCGGUCGGUUCACAGGUGGUGCAUGGUUGUCGUCAGCUCGUGUCGUGAGAUGUUGGGUUAAGUCCCGCAACGAGCGCAACCCUCGUUCUAUGUUGCCAGCGCGUGAUGGCGGGGACUCAUAGGAGACUGCCGGGGUCAACUCGGAGGAAGGUGGGGACGACGUCAAAUCAUCAUGCCCCUUAUGUCUUGGGCUUCACGCAUGCUACAAUGGCCGGUACAAAGGGUUGCGAUACUGUGAGGUGGAGCUAAUCCCAAAAAGCCGGUCUCAGUUCGGAUUGGGGUCUGCAACUCGACCCCAUGAAGUCGGAGUCGCUAGUAAUCGCAGAUCAGCAACGCUGCGGUGAAUACGUUCCCGGGCCUUGUACACACCGCCCGUCAAGUCACGAAAGUUGGUAACACCCGAAGCCGGUGGCCUAACCCCUU